UUAAGUUCAGCGGGUACCCCUACCUGAUCCGAGGUCAAGAGUGUAAAAAGUACUUUUGGACGUCGUCGUUAUGAGUGCAAAGCGCGAGAUGUACUGCGCUCCGAAAUCAAUACGCCAGCUGCCAAUUGUUUUAAGGCGAGUCUACGCGCAAGGCGAGACAAACACCCAACACCAAGCGGAGCUUGAGGGGUUAAAUGACG
Molecule: unclassified non-coding RNA, 200 nt
Filed under: Didymellaceae sp.
Lineage: Eukaryota; Fungi; Ascomycota; Dothideomycetes; Pleosporales; Didymellaceae
Description: partial internal transcribed spacer 2
Source: RNAcentral